Molecule: long non-coding RNA, 1135 nt
Organism: Pleuronectes platessa (European plaice)
Lineage: Eukaryota; Metazoa; Chordata; Actinopteri; Pleuronectiformes; Pleuronectidae
Exons: 2
Source: RefSeq, a predicted model, not a curated record
AGGCCGCACUCCUCAUCCGAGGACCCGGAGCAGAAACCACAAGAACCAGUGGUUUGCAUCAGGGAGCGUGCGGCUGAUGUUGUGACGCUGCAGACUCCUGGAAGCGUCAGGGAGCAUCACGGCAGCGGUUCACCCGCAAACCACAAGAAACGACCUCGAGGAGACAGCGAGACUUCUCCUCCUGGAGCUCUUGAUAAAGUUGGAGCUGGAGACUCAGACACUGAAGACUGUGCUUUCAACACCUUCUGGUUCUGGAGGCCCCCCCUACCUAAACUCGACCUCUCACUGCUGGAAGAUGACCACAGCCAUCCCCAAACAGAGCAGAGGUCAGAGGUCAGAGGUCGUUCCUCUGUUGCCAUGGAGACGUGAGGUGGCUAACAUCAGUAGGCCAACAUGAUGAUUGAAAAACAUGAUGUGCUCAAUUAGGUUGCCCGGAUUGCAUCCAGGUGAGAUGCGACAACCUGACUGUCCAAUGAGCCCUGUCUGACUGACACGUGGGCUUUAGAAAGUGAGUGAAACCAGAGAGCGCAAACCUCCCCCCAAGCUGAUUGGCCACUUUACCAACUGAUCAUAUAUAUUCGCUCUCUACAAAUGCCUGAUUCUUUUUUAUAAAGAUCUCUACAUUAUUCCUUGAGAAAUUCAGAAAAUGUUGAGAAAGUAAAAAAUAAAUCCUGCUUCCACUACCUUAAUAAAGUCCGCUCCAAAAAUGUAUGAUUUUCUUCGGCCCAUACUCUACCCUUUCCAAGUUUCAAUAAAACGGAUUAAUUAGUUUAAAUUAAAACAUAAAUUCUUUGGUGGAUGCAGCAGUGAUUUAUUCUCAUCCCUCAUUCAAUUAUAUGUAUGAGCAGUGACCUUUUCGUUCUAUGCUGAGUCCUGACACGACAAACGUGCAGCAGUAUUCUUAGUAGUUCUUAAACCAGUUUGUUGUAACCCUGCCCACAUUGUGACUGUAGUGUAAGUGUAGACUGUUGUAGAUGUUGUGGGAAAUCUUCAUUUUGAAUUUGCCUCACAGAGGGCUUUAAUGUGUGCUCUAUUAGCAGUUUUCUUUGGGAUGUUACUCGUACACAUUAUUGGCUAUCAGUCCUGAUUGUCACUGUCAGUUGUGUUUUUGGCAAUAAAUGCAGUUUUCUAUCCA